CAGAUUCUCGAACUUUCCGAUUUCAAUUCUCUUCCUCUCUCUCUCUCUCUCUCUCUCUCUCUCUCUCUCUCUCGUAGAAACUUAGUUUCUCUCACUUUCUCUCUCGAGCGAGAAGAAAACUCAUUUCUAUGGGAAAAUCACAAUCCGAGGAUUUAAAAGAUUCUUAUCGUCAAUUUCAUCUAGAUUCAGGAACCAUUGGAGGGCCAUCAUCUGCUCUUGUCCGGGUACCAAUAGAGGCAGUUGAAGUUUUAAUUACAGCUCUUUUAAUCAAGAGAUUUGCCAUUUGAUGUUAUGCAAUUUUGCAUCUAUGAACAGAUUCGAAUAGGUUACAAGCUCUCCUAACAAAUACUUGUACACCAAAGUCUAUUUUAAGAAGAUGAUAUUCAGAAGGUUCCUCAUGUGGUGCCAGAUUCACAGAAGUUGUGGAGGCACUUUACAAUACGAACAAAAGAUUUUUCAACAAGGAAGAUCUAUCACUCGUUGAGCUUCCUGGUAUGGCAUCGAUGAAGUCGAGCUUGAGAAACGUAGAAGAUGAACAAGCACUGCUCACACUCAGGUAUAUCGUAAAAAUUCAUCUGAUUGAUACAUUUAAUUAGAAAUACUCAAGGUGAUAUAGUCACUAUUUCAAUUUUUGUAGCUAAACUUGAGCAAAUAAAUAGAGAUUUUCAGAUAUUCUGAGUUAUUUUCAUUUUGGGUACUUACUCGUGAGUUUCUCUAAGUUGAAGAUAAUGAUGAUUUGACUAUGGACGAACUUAAAGAAAGCUGCCUGGUAUUGAGCUUUUCGUUUGAACAAUUUCUGCCUUCAAGUUCAGUUAUGAUUAAGAAAAGUCUGUUACUUUUUUAUAUGCUCAUUUAGGCAGGUGUCAUGAAGAAAGCUGUCUAAGCUGGAAAAUCUAGAUUUGCGAACGGUAUGCGCCAGGAGCUAAUGAGGGUCCCUAAUGAUCCUUACCAGGCAGGCAAAUCCAGCUCAUAUGCCGCACGAGAUAAUGAUGAUUUCAUAUAUCAUCCGAGUCAGAUUGACAGAUGCUCCUCAUAUAGCAACAAGAUGAUGAACUGGAUGACUUAAGUGCAAGUGUGCAAAGAAUUGGAGGUGUGGGGCUUACCAAACACGAAAAACUUACAGGACGGGAAGCAACGCCCGGAUUCUGAAAAGUUGGAUGCAAUGCAAAGAAACUUGUUACUCCUAGUUUGUGUGAACUUUGCCCAUCUCCUUCCGAUGUAAAGGAACCGACUCUUGGUACUCCUGGUUUGAGUAAUUAAACUUCGCCCAUCUUGUUCUGAUUUUACAGGAUCUGUAUUUUAGUACCCCUUGAUUUGAGUUAAACAAGUAGAAAUGUGUAAUUUUUCUAUUUGUUUCUGGUUUAGAAAUGAAUUUGAUUCAGUGAGCAAUGAAAUCUGUAGUUUUUCUAUUA
Long non-coding RNA from Papaver somniferum (opium poppy), 1412 nucleotides. RefSeq lists it as uncharacterized. The record is from RefSeq and is a predicted model, not a curated record. Lineage: Eukaryota; Viridiplantae; Streptophyta; Magnoliopsida; Ranunculales; Papaveraceae. The transcript has 7 exons.